CCUACGGGAGGCAGCAGUGAGGAAUAUUGGUCAAUGGUCGGGAGACUGAACCAGCCAAGCCGCGUGAGGGAUGAAGGUACAGAGUAUCGUAAACCUCUUUUGUCAGGGAACAAAGGCGGGGACGCGUCCCCGGAUGAGUGUACCUGAAGAAAAAGCAUCGGCUAACUCCGUGCCAGCAGCCGCGGUAAUACGGAGGAUGCGAGCGUUAUCCGGAUUUAUUGGGUUUAAAGGGUGCGCAGGCGGUCUGUUAAGUCAGCGGGAAAAGCCCGGGGCUCAACCCCGGCCCGCCGUUGAAAAUGGCAGUCUCGAGUUGGAGAGAGGUAUGCGGAAUGCGCGGUGUAGCGGUGAAAUGCAUAGAUAUCGCGAAGAACUCCGAUUGCGAAGGCAGCAUGCCGGCUCCACACUGACGCUGAGGCACGAAAGCGUGGGUAUCGAACAGGAUUAGAUACCCCUGUAGUC
This 459-nucleotide ribosomal RNA is filed under the name uncultured bacterium. Its description in RNAcentral is "partial 16S ribosomal RNA". It matches the Rfam family "Bacterial small subunit ribosomal RNA", at positions 338 to 795 of the family's 1533-position model. The record is from RNAcentral.